AGGCGACUGGAAGAGCUUCAGCAGGAGCUGGGCAGUAAGGAACAAGAGAAAGUUUCCGAGGUCAAUAAAGUGCGUGUGGAGCUGCAGGAGCAGAUUGGUCACCUGGAAGCUGAGAGAACAGCACAAGAAGGGCUGCGAGGGAAGAUUGCGGCCCUUGAGCGCCAGCUGAAAGUGUUGUCCAGUAACCACCGGGAGGCACUAUUGGACAAAGAGGGUGAAAUCUCCAGCCUGCUUGAGAAAUUACGGGUUCGGGAAGCAGAAAUCUCCAGGAUAAGGGAGGAGGAAGCUCAGCGGGCCAGCUUCCUUCAAAAUGCCAUCCUGACCUAUGUGCAAGGUUCCCCACUUGGCUCUCUCAGCCCCAAGAAGUGAGUACGUUCUGCAGUUCAUAAGGCCCAUCCUCAAGGAAAGGGAUCAUGAGAGGAUCAUGGUGGGCCAGGCCAGGCUUUCUUAUGUUUCCUGAAGAUCCAGGAAUCUCCAUGGCCAGUUACCUGGAACUAAGUGUGAAGCGUCAAUGAAGGACUUGUGGCCGCUUCAGAAACCAUCUUAAUUUCUGUGCCCAAAUCUUGUUCAACCACAGCAGCAAGAAUAGUCUUCAAGAUAAAAUCAUCUAUUCCUAUUUGUAACCCACAGAUAAUGUAUGUUCACACAAGUUCUCCCUCACUGAUUUUGGCCUCAAAUUUAGAUCCAAAAUGCAGAUCAUUUCUUGUUGGAUUGAUGGUUGUUGGAAAAAAUAAUAAUGCUUUGAUGUGACCGACUCUUUUAAAUGCAUCAAUCAACAGUAGUAAAAGGAACAUUUAAGUCAGCCAAUCAUGAAGAUUUUUCCUAUACUCAUUUUCCUUUUCUACAAGAUCUACAGCAUUCCAGAUAAUCUCAAAAGGACUAAUUUGAGUCUAGAGUCAUUUGGGGCUGUCCUGAUCCAGUAGAACACAGAAUUUAUUUUCCACGCCUGAGAAUAUCACUGUUAAGUCCAGUUUUCUAAGGAACUCUUUUACAGUAACCCUUAGCCAUUAGUACCUGAUUCCUGUGGACUUAAAGGUGAAACAGUCCAAAUAGGGGUGGGGUUGGAUUUAUCCACGAAGCCUUUUCAGUUUCAGUAAGAAGACACAGCUUCUCUCACUGGUGACAACAUUCGAAAUGUGAGCCAGAGGCUAGAAUAACUUCCAACUCAUCCUGAUUUAGCUGUAGUUGUCUUGAGAACAAGAUGACACACAUGGAACAAAGAA
This is a long non-coding RNA of Protobothrops mucrosquamatus (brown spotted pit viper), 1223 nucleotides long. RefSeq lists it as uncharacterized. The transcript is spliced from 3 exons. The record is from RefSeq and is a predicted model, not a curated record. Lineage: Eukaryota; Metazoa; Chordata; Lepidosauria; Squamata; Viperidae.